AUUAUCUUAGUGAGCAAUUCAACCCACAGUGAUCGUGACCCUGUGACCCGGGAUCCACUGAGAGAUGGGAAUCAACUGUGUGUGGGAGCAAACUUGAAACCGUCAGCACUGUUACUAAAAGAAAGGUCGAAGAAACCAACCUGAGGAGGUAGAGUGGUGCACUCUCCCCGGAACGGAUGGACAGACGGACCGAGAGGGAGCGAGUAGCAGCCUCUCCUGGCUCGGGGCAUGCAGUUGUUCUGUCAGCCAGGGCGGAUCCUUUCAAGUACUCCCUACCCUGGCCUGCACAUCCCCGUGGAGCUUCAGCUGCUGUACAAAGAAAGAGAGAAACCUUAAUAAACAGAGAUAUUUUGCAACCUGCCUGGAAGAGGGACGGGCCCAAAUCAAGACAUGUUACACAACAGAGAAGAGAUUAAGCAUAUCGGUGCAACCUUAACUUCAGUGUGAAACCUGUGAGCUGCGGCCUGGCAUGACUUUG
Molecule: long non-coding RNA, 478 nt
Organism: Hirundo rustica (Barn swallow)
Lineage: Eukaryota; Metazoa; Chordata; Aves; Passeriformes; Hirundinidae
Exons: 4
Source: RefSeq, a predicted model, not a curated record